GUCGUUGUACCGAAGUGGUUAACGGGAUGGUCUCGAAUCUACAAGUUUCGCUAACCAUUGGACUCUGUCCGCGUAGGUUCGAAUCCUAUCGACGACG
Molecule: transfer RNA, 97 nt
Filed under: Tilletia controversa (dwarf bunt fungus)
Lineage: Eukaryota; Fungi; Basidiomycota; Exobasidiomycetes; Tilletiales; Tilletiaceae
Rfam family: tRNA
About the family: Transfer RNA (tRNA) molecules are approximately 80 nucleotides in length. Their secondary structure includes four short double-helical elements and three loops (D, anti-codon, and T loops).
Source: Rfam by way of RNAcentral